CGGGUGAGUAACGCGUAAGAAUCUACCCCAGACUGAGGGAUAAGCCCUGGAAACAGGGUCUAAUACCGCAUACGCUCUACGGAGUAAAGCUACGGCGGUUUGGGAAGAGCUUGCGUCUGAUUAGCUAGUUGGUACGGUAACGGCGUACCAAGGCGACGAUCAGUAGCUGGUCUGAGAGGAUGGCCAGCCACACUGGGACUGAGACACGGCCCAGACUCCUACGGGAGGCAGCAGUAGGGAAUUUUCCACAAUGGGGGCAACCCUGAUGGAGCGACGCCGCGUGCAGGAUGAAGGCCUUCGGGUUGUAAACUGCUUUUAUCUGUGACGAAUAUGACGGUAGCAGAUGAAUAAGGAUCGGCUAACUCCGUGCCAGCAGCCGCGGUCAUACGGAGGAUCCAAGCGUUAUCCGGAAUUACUGGGCGUAAAGCGUUGCGUAGGCGGCAGGUAAAGCGGAGUGUGAAAUCGUGUGGCUCAACCAUACGGCUAUGCUCUGAACUCACCAGCUAGAGAGCGAGAGAGGUAACUGGAAUUCCUAGUGUAGGAGUGAAAUCCGUAGAUAUUAGGAGGAAC
Molecule: ribosomal RNA, 570 nt
Filed under: uncultured bacterium
Lineage: Bacteria
Description: bacterial SSU rRNA
Rfam family: Bacterial small subunit ribosomal RNA
Source: RNAcentral